UUUAUUUAUUUGUGGUUCUUUUGUUUCUCGGAGCCCUGAUGUAGAAAACUGUCAAUAUUGAGAGAACUUUGCUUUCGAGAAUCUUUUCUGUCUGAGCUAAACUGCUAUACUGGGAUUUUGAUAGAGUGUGGUGCAUGGGUUCAAACAUUGCAUCAUCUUUUCAAAAGUGUGACUGCUAGAAGUCUUAAUGAACAGACACUCACAUGUCUGUGUGUGUGUGCGCAUGAAUGUCUGUAUAUCAUUGUGUAGCUGUCACCCGGGAUUUUGGGAGCAGCUUCAAGAGCUCACUCCAUGAUAUGUUGGGUAUCAAAGGGGCAUAACCUUAAGUUGCUGGGUGCUUCCAGGCACAGGCAUCCAUUCGCAAUACCUCUGAACCAAACUAGUUCAGUUUAUGCUAUAUUACUGGCCUCAAGAAUGUGUUCAUUGGUAGGCUAGAAAUAUGGGCUUUAUGCUUUUAUGCAAUUUAUUACUUGAUCACCUAACCCCCUGUUGAGCAUUGCUGAUCUAAGAUUCUUGUUUACUGGGUGAGAAUGGGAGGCUGCGAGCUAUUAUUUUCCUGUAGCAUCAUGAGGGACUGCUUCUAGUGUCUCAAGUUUGAGCAACACUGACAAACUUCUUCAUAGCCCAAAUACAACAAUUGCAAGGCCUUCAUUUGAUGGUUUGCAAUUACUGGAGAGGAUUACUGGUCAUCAAGUUGAAAUGAUAAGGGACCUCAGGGCUUAUAAGAUUAUAUUGGGAAGCUGAAUAAGCGGAGAUUGGUUUAGCUUGUGCUAUUGCAAGUCGAACUGGGGUUCUUCACAGAUAUGACUUCUUGAUGAUCGUAAUGCAUGUUCAACUUCUUGCUCAAUCACAAACCAGCUAACAUAUUUCGAUCUAUGUUGGCUUCUUUAUCACCAACUGAAAAAUUGCAGACAUCUAAUGUAAUUUAGUUUUAGAUAUAUUUUUUUUUGUCAUUUUUUUUAACUUCUUUCUUCGAUCAAGAAAGAGAUUGAACAGGGUAUGCUGCUAGGGUGCAAAGCCAGCAUCCGCUUUUCGGACUUUGUGGCCGAUGCAAGGCUUAUUGAUCAAAUGCAAAGGUUGUUAA
Coffea eugenioides is the source of this 1084-nucleotide long non-coding RNA. RefSeq lists it as uncharacterized. The transcript is spliced from 2 exons. The record is from RefSeq and is a predicted model, not a curated record. Lineage: Eukaryota; Viridiplantae; Streptophyta; Magnoliopsida; Gentianales; Rubiaceae.